AAUGAACGUUGGCGGCGUGGAUUAGGCAUGCGAGUCGUGCGAGAACCGUAGCAAUACGGGGACAGCGGCGAAAGGGAGAGGAACACGUGGAUACCUACCCUCAGGUUCAGGAUAGCUAUGGGAAACUAUAGGUAAUACUGAAUAAUAUCUCCGGAUCAAAGGUGUGAUUCCGCCGGAGGAGGGGUCCGCGUCCUAUUAGCUAGUUGGUGAGGUAAUGGCUCACCAAGGCGAAGAUGGGUACGGGAUGUGAGAGCAUGAUCCCGCUCAUUGGGACUGAGACACUGCCCAGACACCUACGGGUGGCUGCAGUCGAGAAUCUUCGGCAAUGGGGGAAACCCUGACCGAGCGACGCCGCGUGUGAGAUGAAGGCCUGGUGUAAGUCACUGUCGUAGAGGAGGAAGUGUAGGUGGGUUCGUCCCUACUUACUUUGUACCUAUUCUAGGAGGUAAGGGACGGGACGUAAGUUCGU
RNAcentral lists this ribosomal RNA (469 nucleotides) under uncultured bacterium. RNAcentral describes it as "bacterial SSU rRNA". It matches the Rfam family "Bacterial small subunit ribosomal RNA", at positions 29 to 506 of the family's 1533-position model. The record is from RNAcentral.